GUGUCGUGAGAUGUUCGGGUUAGGUCCCGUAACGAGCGCAACCCUUGCCUUAGUUACCAGCACGUUAUGGUGGGCACUCUAAGGAGACUGCCGGUGACAAACCGGAGGAAGGUGGGGAUGACGUCAAGUCAUCAUGGCCCUUACGGCCUGGGCUACACACGUGCUACAAUGGUCGGUACAAAGGGUUGCCAAGCCGCGAGGUGGAGCUAAUCCCAUAAAACCGAUCGUAGUCCGGAUCGCAGUCUGCAACUCGACUGCGUGAAGUCGGAAUCGCUAGUAAUCGUGAAUCAGAAUGUCACGGUGAAUACGUUCCCGGGCCUU
This 321-nucleotide ribosomal RNA is filed under the name uncultured Pseudomonas sp. RNAcentral describes it as "bacterial SSU rRNA". It matches the Rfam family "Bacterial small subunit ribosomal RNA", at positions 1062 to 1382 of the family's 1533-position model. Lineage: Bacteria; Pseudomonadati; Pseudomonadota; Gammaproteobacteria; Pseudomonadales; Pseudomonadaceae. The record is from RNAcentral.